GACGAACGCUGGCGGCGUGCUUAACACAUGCAAGUCGAACGGAAAGGCCUCUUUCGGGGGGUACUCGAGUGGCGAACGGGUGAGUAACACGUGAGUAACCUGCCCUUGACUUUGGGAUAACUUCAGGAAACUGGGGCUAAUACCGGAUAGGAGCUCCUGCUGCAUGGUGGGGGUUGGAAAGUUUCGGCGGUUGGGGAUGGACUCGCGGCUUAUCAGCUUGUUGGUGGGGUAGUGGCUUACCAAGGCUUUGACGGGUAGCCGGCCUGAGAGGGUGACCGGCCACAUUGGGACUGAGAUACGGCCCAGACUCCUACGGGAGGCAGCAGUGGGGAAUAUUGCACAAUGGGUGGAAGCCUGAUGCAGUAACGCCGUGUGCGGGAUGACGGCCUUCGGGUUGUAAACCGCUUUCGCUCAUGACGAAGCUUUGUGUGACGGUAGUGGGUAAAGAAGCACCGGCUAACUACGU
This 466-nucleotide ribosomal RNA is filed under the name uncultured bacterium. RNAcentral describes it as "partial 16S ribosomal RNA". It matches the Rfam family "Bacterial small subunit ribosomal RNA", at positions 28 to 506 of the family's 1533-position model. The record is from RNAcentral.